Molecule: ribosomal RNA, 972 nt
Filed under: metagenome
Description: bacterial LSU rRNA
Rfam family: Bacterial large subunit ribosomal RNA
Source: RNAcentral
AGGUAGCGAAAUUCCUUGUCGGGUAAGUUCCGACCCGCACGAAAGGCGUAACGAUCUGGGCACUGUCUCAACGAGAGACUCGGUGAAAUUGAAUUGCCUGUGAAGAUGCAGGCUACCCGCGACAGGACGGAAAGACCCCAUGGAGCUUUACUGUAGCUUGAUAUUGAGUGCUUGUACUGCUUGUACAGGAUAGGUAGGAGCCAUAGAAGCCAGGACGCUAGUUUUGGCAGAGGCGUUGGUGGGAUACUACCCUUGCAUUAUGAUCACUCUAACCCGCACCACUGAUCGUGGUGGGAGACAGUGUCAGGUGGGCAGUUUGACUGGGGCGGUCGCCUCCCAAAAGAUAACGGAGGCGCCCAAAGGUUCGCUCAGAAUGGUUGGAAAUCAUUCGCAGAGUGUAAAGGCACAAGCGAGCUUGACUGCGAGACAGACAGGUCGAGCAGGGACGAAAGUCGGGCUUAGUGAUCCGGUGGUUCCGCAUGGAAGGGCCAUCGCUCAACGGAUAAAAGCUACCCUGGGGAUAACAGGCUUAUCUCCCCCAAGAGUCCACAUCGACGGGGAGGUUUGGCACCUCGAUGUCGGCUCAUCGCAUCCUGGGGCUGUAGUCGGUCCCAAGGGUUGGGCUGUUCGCCCAUUAAAGCGGUACGCGAGCUGGGUUCAGAACGUCGUGAGACAGUUCGGUCCCUAUCCGUCGCGGGCGUAGGAAAUUUGAGAGGACCUGUCCUUAGUACGAGAGGACCGGGAUGGACAUACCGCUGGUGUACCAGUUGUUCCGCCAGGAGCAUCGCUGGGUAGCUAUGUAUGGAUGAGAUAAACGCUGAAAGCAUCUAAGCGUGAAACUCGCCUCAAGAUGAGAUUUCCCAUUCCUUAUGGAAGUAAGACCCCUCAGAGAUGAUGAGGUAGAUAGGAUGGAAGUGGAAGUGCCGCGAGGCAUGGAGCGGACCAUUACUAAUCGGUCGAGGACUUAACCAA